CCCCUCUCUUCACGCCGGAAGUCAUCCCUCCCGUAGUCAUCUCGCCCUCCCCAGCGCUCCAUGCGGUCGUCGCGCCGCUCGUAGCGCUCCUCGUAGCGGUCGCUGCCACCCCGGAAGUCGUCGUCGCGGCGGUAGCCACUGCCGAAGGCCCUCCGGCCGCUGCCGAUGCGCGAGUUGUAGCCCCGGUCGUAGUCUCUGCUGCGGUCAUCAUAGCGAUCUCUGCCGCCGAAACCACGGUCCAUGUCACGCCGCGGGCCAUCGCGGUACCGAUCGUCGUAGCGAUCCCGAU
Molecule: long non-coding RNA, 289 nt
Filed under: Gallus gallus (chicken)
Lineage: Eukaryota; Metazoa; Chordata; Aves; Galliformes; Phasianidae
Source: RNAcentral